Molecule: ribosomal RNA, 253 nt
Filed under: uncultured bacterium
Lineage: Bacteria
Description: partial 16S ribosomal RNA
Rfam family: Bacterial small subunit ribosomal RNA
Source: RNAcentral
UACGUAGGGUGCAAGCGUUGUCCGGAAUUAUUGGGCGUAAAGAGCUCGUAGGCGGUCUGUCGCGUCGGCUGUGAAAUCCCGAGGCUCAACCUCGGGUCUGCAGUCGAUACGGGCAAACUAGAGUUCGGUAGGGGAGACUGGAAUUCCUGGUGUAGCGGUGAAAUGCGCAGAUAUCAGGAGGAACACCGGUGGCGAAGGCGGGUCUCUGGGCCGAUACUGACGCUGAGGAGCGAAAGCGUGGGGAGCGAACAGG